Molecule: ribosomal RNA, 253 nt
Filed under: uncultured bacterium
Lineage: Bacteria
Description: partial 16S ribosomal RNA
Rfam family: Bacterial small subunit ribosomal RNA
Source: RNAcentral
UACGGAGGGGGCUAGCGUUGUUCGGAAUUAUUGGGCGUAAAGCGCGCGCAGGCGGCUUGGCAAGUCGGGGGUGAAAUCCCGGGGCUCAACCCCGGAACUGCACUCGAUACUGCCAAGCUAGAGUCUCGGAGAGGAUGGCGGAAUUCCCGGUGUAGAGGUGAAAUUCGUAGAUAUCGGAAGGAACACCAGCGGCGAAGGCGGCCAUCUGGACGGUGACUGACGCUCAGACGCGAAAGCGUGGGGAGCAAACAGG